UACGAAGGGUGCAAGCGUUAAUCGGAAUUACUGGGCGUAAAGGGUGCGUAGGCGGUUAUGUAAGUCUGCCGUGAAAUCCCCGGGCUCAACCUGGGAAUGGCGGUGGAUACUGGAUAGCUAGAGUGUGUCAGAGGAUGGUGGAAUUCCCGGUGUAGCGGUGAAAUGCGUAGAGAUCGGGAGGAACAUCAGUGGCGAAGGCGGCCAUCUGGGACAACACUGACGCUGAAGCACGAAAGCGUGGGGAGCGAACAGG
Molecule: ribosomal RNA, 253 nt
Filed under: uncultured bacterium
Lineage: Bacteria
Description: partial 16S ribosomal RNA
Rfam family: Bacterial small subunit ribosomal RNA
Source: RNAcentral